RNAcentral lists this ribosomal RNA (230 nucleotides) under uncultured bacterium. RNAcentral describes it as "partial 16S ribosomal RNA". It matches the Rfam family "Bacterial small subunit ribosomal RNA", at positions 562 to 791 of the family's 1533-position model. The record is from RNAcentral.
AAAGCGCGCGUAGGUGGUUUGUUAAGUUGGAUGUGAAAUCCCCGGGCUCAACCUGGGAACUGCAUCCAAAACUGGCAAGCUAGAGUAUGGUAGAGGGUGGUGGAAUUUCCUGUGUAGCGGUGAAAUGCGUAGAUAUAGGAAGGAACACCAGUGGCGAAGGCGACCACCUGGACUGAUACUGACACUGAGGUGCGAAAGCGUGGGGAGCAAACAGGAUUAGAUACCCCGGU